CACACCCUCUGUCCCCCGGCUCAUCAUGCCUGGCUCCCGCACACCCUCCCCACAGCCAUGGUGCUUGCAGUGGUGCCUCUCAUCCUCCUGGCUGCAGGCAGAUGGUUUGCCAUCAGGAAAGGUGCCUGCAGAGGGAGAUGCCCAAGGUGAGCACCAAGGGCUCCUGGUUGUGGGGUUUGUGGGAGGGAGUGGGGGGCAUGGUGGGACCCUGGGGUGCUGCAUGUUCAGGGAAAUUCCCUGUGCAGAAGGCAGAAAGCAUGGGGCUUAUUGUGGGAUGCACUCCAUCUCAAUGCCAAAUGCAGGAAAGCAACACCAAAGGGCAUAAGCUUCAUGACCCCUCCUCAGCACAUGCACAUCCCAGAACCAUUCCAUUCCUCUCCAGGCAGCAACAAGUUGACAGCCCGCAGACGGAAGAUGCCAGCUAUGGUGACAUCCAGUACUCCACCAUCGCCCAUAUUCGACGGGACAGGCCUCGUCCCAUGCAUCAAAUGAGAAACAUCAUGACAUAUGCCACGGUGACCCACACUCAGACCAAAUAGCGCUGCCACAGGGCAAGGGCACAGGAGCCUUGCCCACAGCUGCCUUUGGCCUCCUGCAGAGGGCUCAUGGAGCCAUAACGUGGGGCUAGGGGGUGCACUUUGGUCUUCUUAGGGGUUUGUUUUCUCAGAGAAGGGCUGUGUGUGUCUAGCCAAGAAGAUGUAGGACUCACACCUCCAUCUACAAGACAUUAAUACUUCUAAAAUAUAUGACCUAUACCAAAUCUUACUGUGACUGUAUUGAUUUUUUCUCAACAAAAGAAAACAUCUCGCUGUGCUCAGUGGAUGAUGUGUAUACCUAAGUUGCAUUAUAAUGCCAUGGGGGUGUUAUUCUACCCACCCACAGAGAUGCCCAUUUUUGACCUACAUGGACAGAUAUCACUGCAGGCA
This 926-nucleotide long non-coding RNA is filed under the name Anas platyrhynchos (mallard). RNAcentral describes it as "lncRNA (ENSAPLG00020012826.1)". The record is from RNAcentral. Lineage: Eukaryota; Metazoa; Chordata; Aves; Anseriformes; Anatidae.